RNAcentral lists this ribosomal RNA (793 nucleotides) under Saccharomyces cerevisiae (brewer's yeast). Its description in RNAcentral is "eukaryotic LSU rRNA". It matches the Rfam family "Eukaryotic large subunit ribosomal RNA", at positions 100 to 908 of the family's 3401-position model. Lineage: Eukaryota; Fungi; Ascomycota; Saccharomycetes; Saccharomycetales; Saccharomycetaceae. The record is from RNAcentral.
GGCAAAAGCUCAAAUUUGAAAUCUGGUACCUUCGGUGCCCGAGUUGUAAUUUGGAGAGGGCAACUUUGGGGCCGUUCCUUGUCUAUGUUCCUUGGAACAGGACGUCAUAGAGGGUGAGAAUCCCGUGUGGCGAGGAGUGCGGUUCUUUGUAAAGUGCCUUCGAAGAGUCGAGUUGUUUGGGAAUGCAGCUCUAAGUGGGUGGUAAAUUCCAUCUAAAGCUAAAUAUUGGCGAGAGACCGAUAGCGAACAAGUACAGUGAUGGAAAGAUGAAAAGAACUUUGAAAAGAGAGUGAAAAAGUACGUGAAAUUGUUGAAAGGGAAGGGCAUUUGAUCAGACAUGGUGUUUUGUGCCCUCUGCUCCUUGUGGGUAGGGGAAUCUCGCAUUUCACUGGGCCAGCAUCAGUUUUGGUGGCAGGAUAAAUCCAUAGGAAUGUAGCUUGCCUCGGUAAGUAUUAUAGCCUGUGGGAAUACUGCCAGCUGGGACUGAGGACUGCGACGUAAGUCAAGGAUGCUGGCAUAAUGGUUAUAUGCCGCCCGUCUUGAAACACGGACCAAGGAGUCUAACGUCUAUGCGAGUGUUUGGGUGUAAAACCCAUACGCGUAAUGAAAGUGAACGUAGGUUGGGGCCUCGCAAGAGGUGCACAAUCGACCGAUCCUGAUGUCUUCGGAUGGAUUUGAGUAAGAGCAUAGCUGUUGGGACCCGAAAGAUGGUGAACUAUGCCUGAAUAGGGUGAAGCCAGAGGAAACUCUGGUGGAGGCUCGUAGCGGUUCUGACGUGCAAAUCGAUCGUCGA